This 5120-nucleotide long non-coding RNA is filed under the name Brassica napus (rape). RNAcentral describes it as "long non-coding RNA (BNAP_LNC014635)". Lineage: Eukaryota; Viridiplantae; Streptophyta; Magnoliopsida; Brassicales; Brassicaceae. The record is from RNAcentral.
AAACUCUUAAGAGAAGAAGACAAAGGAUAGGCUGGCGAGUGACAGGCUGGAAAGGAGAGUCUCUUGCUGUAAAGUAAAAGCAAAAGGAGACCAUGUAUCUAGCAAAAGAAGUGGGCAGAUUCAUGGGAGCCUUUAGCUAGCCAAUAAGGAGCCAGCCUUCCCUUGACCAGAUUCAAAUGGACCAAUUAUCCAUCAGGAAGAGCACAGCCACGACCAAGACCAUCUUUCCAUCUCAUUCAUCCAUUUAAAUUCAAGUUAUAACAGCCCUUAGAUUUAGGUUUAUGAUUGCAAGUUGUAAAGAGCAUAUAUAAGCUCAUAAGUGAUGUUUUGUAACUCUUAAGUGAGUAAGGGGGAUUCCCUUCUCCUUCUCUAAUCUGAAACACUUUCUCUUAGUCUCUCUAGUCUCUCAUCCUGAAUCUCUAUACACGUUCUCAGUCUUGUUACUAAUCUCUUAAACACUUAGACACACAAACACUCAUACCUCAAGAAGAAGGUGUGCUCAUCCAUGGUGUCCAGAAGCUGUCUCUGGCUGAUCUACACUCUCUCAUGAAGCCCAUGAAGAAGAAAGAACCUUGGAAGCAAUGGUGUAUGAGGUGGUCUAAUCAACCAUGCUUCAAAGCUAUGUCCAAGCUAGUUCUUAUCCACUGUCCAAGAAGAAAGGUGAUAGCUUUCAGCUGGUACUGGUGUGGCGAAUUCAACAUGAAGAAAGGUGUGGUCUUUGACAUGGAAAGUUCAAGAGAAAGGUCCAUGGGAGAAGGAGAAGUUGGAAUCGACACCAACAGCUCACUGUCUUGCCAUGUUCUAAGGAGUUUCAAGGAACUAACACUAGUUCCUUGGCUGUAAGGAAAUCUCUUUCUCUUGUAUAAAGCUUGAGUGUAUGAACAGGUUGUGAUGUUGUGAUGUGAUUGAAAAACCUGAGGAUAUGUCUAAGAUUGCUAAAUGAAUAUGUUUUAGAAUCUGGUCCAAGAUGCUUAAAGAGGCUUGUUUGAUGAUUGAGAUUGUUUAAAAUGCUUAAUCCCAGUUCUAAAAUGAAAUGACUUGUUAGGAUGAUAGAUUGUAUUGUCUUAUCCAGCUUGCUUUCAUGAAUUAGAAACUGAUUAAGGUUAAGGCAUUGUGACUUGUUGCUGCCUAAUAUUGAAGCACUAGAUUCAUGUCUAAAUCGCUGAGUAAAGGAGCUUUAAAAUUGCCUAAGUAGCUUGUAUUGAAUCUGUUAUGAUCUUGCUGGUGCUUAGAGAAUUAGCUUGCAAAGAAUAGAACUUGAUAAUGCCUUGUGUCUAUCUGUUGCAUUGCUUGUGAUAUUGGGAAUCAAACUUGAUGAUUUAUUAAUCAAGAAUUGACAUCAAUACUAUUGAAAAUGGUUAAAUGCUUAAUGUCAGUUAUAAAUUAACUUGUCUUGUUAAGAUGAUAGAUUAUAUUAUCUAAUCAUGCUUACUUUCAUGAGUUAGAAACUGAUUAAGAUUAAUGCAUACUGCCUUGUAUUGUUGCAUUUAGAUUAAAAUCUAAGUUGCAUAAAAUUGCCUAAAUACUUUGACUUGAAUCUGAUAAGGUCUUGCUUAGUAUUUAGAGAAUGGUUGCUUGCAUAGAUAAGAACUUGACAUUGUCUUGAUUCUAUCUAAUGUUAUAAAGCUUGAGACAUUGGUGAUCAAACUUGAUGAAGUCAAGGAUUGAUCACAAUGCAAUUGUGUCUUAUCUUUGCUAGAGUUUGAGUGAUGUUUCAGAUUCACAAAAGAUGUUCCUAGCUCAGCAUCAAAUCCAAGUUGAAAGAGAAAGAAUGAUGCCCAUUGUGUGUACAAUGGAGAGGUGUUACAAGAAGGGAGAAGCACCGAUGGUUGUAAAACUCACUGGUGUUCUUCUUCUUACCAUUGCAAGUACCUGAAGAAGAAGCCAACUGGGUAUAGGCAGUGGCGUGCCUAUUCAAGAGGGUGCUCAAACUAAGACAGAGCACUCUUGGCUGUGUGAAGAAGAAGGCUACUCUAUCAAGGCGGCUUCUAUUGUGAGGUGAUUGAAGAAGUAGCUGAAGCAUCCACAAGCAUUCCAUCAUGGUGGUGAAUUCAGAAGGGUGAUUGCAAUAAGAGAAGAAGAAGAAGUGAGGAUUCAAGUGGCAACUUUAAGAACCACUCCUCAUCACCUUAAACAAGGGAGUAAACCUAGUCUCAUCUAUCUUAAUAUGUCUUGAUAGGUUUAUCUCCUGAUUAUACUAUGUGCUUUCCCUAAUUCCAUUAAGAGUUUAUAGCUUCUAAGUAGAAUGUCUAGGCUAAUUGCACUGAAAUUGUUUUGCUGCUGCAUUGUCUUAUUGAUAGUAAGUAAUGUCUAGAGUCCCAGAAUCUCAUGUUCUGUUUAUUGCAUUGUCUUGAGUGUUGUCAUAGCUUGAAUCAUCAUGAAUGUGUUGUAGAAUUGAGUAGAAUGUCUCUGCUGCUUGCAUCAUGAUUGAUAAGUUAUUUUGCAUACAUAAGCAUAUCUCAUACUGUCUAAGUUCAAUCCUAGUGUUAUCUGAUGCUAUUGCCUAUGUUUAAUCCAUCAAUGAAAGUCUUGCAUCAAUUAGAAAUUGUCUAAGUUGCUUGCAUCAUUGGUUCUGAUUGAAACUGUUGUGCAGAGCUUUAAUAUUACUCAUGGAUUGAACCUGUUGCAUUCAUAUAGCUAAUGCUUUAAGAUUGUGCAUUCAUGUAGUAAUGCAUUUAAAAAUGAGCCUAAAUUGCAAAUGUACUGAUAUAAGCUUUGCAUUUAGAGAACUGUAUAGAACUUGCAUUGUCAUUGUUAGAAAUUGAAAUCUGCUUGUCUUGACUCAGUCCAGUUCUGAUUGUUGCUAUGCCAUAGUUAAAUCCAUCAGUGAUGUCUUAUAAGCAUUUAGAAGUAUGUCUAAGCUACUUGAAUCAUUGGCUUUGAUAAAACUAGUGAGCAUAAGCAUGAAUUGAGUCACUCUUGUCGCCUUGAUUGCAUAAGUAUCAUCUAGGCUUGUGUUCCAUUUGGGUUAAAUCUAUUUCAUUCAUAUAGUGAGUAUGUAACCUAAUGCAUUCAUUUAUUGUUGCAUUUAAAAAAAAAAAAAACUGAAUUGAUUGUCUUUGCUUGAUUGUCUUGAUUGUCUAGCUUAUUUCAAGUAUCAUAUAUUAUUGUGGCAUUGGUGAUCAAACAGGCUGGAUAAUCUUGGUUUGAUCCCAAUGGGAUGAUCUGAUCUUGCAUUGAGUUGUGGUGGUGUUAGGUACACAAGGAGUGUGAUACAUGUAACUCGCCAACAGCAAAGAAUGUAGAGACAAAGGUCUUAUGCCAUUGCAUAUCAUCACUAGGACAUGUUAGUCCAUAAUCUACAGGAAGUGUAGUGUGAUUGAUUAUGCAAUGAGAGAUGGCCAUUGCAUAAUACCAUUGGACAUAUCCAGUCCAAAGACUAUAGGAAGUGUAGCAUGGAUCAUUAUCCAAUGAGAAGUGUGUCUUGUGAGUCUCUCCAUGGUGAUUCAAACACCCUAGUUCCUGGUUAAGGAAGAGAGUAAACUCACAAGAAGAAAGCUAUCAUGAAAGACUGAUAGUUAUAAGACCAUGAGGAUGCAUAUGAUCAUCACAAGCUUAGCUCCUUAUAGUCUAAGCUUGAGGGGGAGUCUUAAUGCAUAUGAUCCAUGGUCAGUAACAAGUAAUUGCAAAGGCUUCUACAAAGGAUCAUCAGCCGGAGUUAUUCUAGGUAGUCUAAGGGUGAAGGUGAACUGAUAAAAGCGGCUUAUAUGGUGAAGUGAUUGAUGAGAAGCUGAUGAAUCCAUUCUGCCUUUCCAAGAAGUUGAUGAUGCCAUGGAGAUGGUGCAAUGGCCGAGUGGGAACUCACCAAAACAAAAGGGAAGUGUCCUAAGCUCAAUUCAAUUCAAUACAUUCAUCAUUUCAAAUCAAAGUCUAGAAAUGAUACUUAAAAUGAUUGAAUGGAUUGUGUGAUGUUUCUUGAUAAGUACUGAUGCACCUUUGGGAUAAGUAUCAGGUACCCAUUGCUUGAGCCUCACUAAAGAUGUUCCUGGUCAGUUCCUAGCUUCUCUAAGAUGGCUGAGAAGUCAGUUGAGAGGGGGAGACUUCAAACCGGUUCCAUGAAGAGGUGAAGCUGAAGUGUGAAGUGUGCGCAAAGCUGUGAAGAGUUGCUGCACCUAUUAGGCCGUGAUCCAGAGCUUCUUGUGUCCAACCACACUGGUUCUAAGGCACAAGAGCUCACUGGCCAAUCCCUAGGCUUUGGAGAGCUCUACUCUUUUUCCCUUGCAAGGUUUUGUCCCAAUGGGUUUUCCUUGUAAGGUUUUUAAUGAGGGAGACUCUUCAGAGUUCCAAGCUUGGCUUAGGAUCUCCUAAAGUCAAGCUUGAGGGGGAGUGUUGAACUGAAGAGAAGAAUGGAGCUUGUGCAUAAAUAGGGCAAGCUUCAGGUGAUCUCCGGAAGAGUUCUACAAAGCUUCAGGAGAGUCUUGAAGUAUCUAUCAUGGGUGAAGUUAAGUCCAAGAAGGGCUUAGACUGAUCUUAAGAAGACAUGGAAGGAGUUUGGAGGUGAAUGGUUGAGUUUGUAAACUUAGGGCGAGGCCGUACGGAUUUGGUACGGACGUGUACGGACCGUACGGAUCCGUACGGACCUUUCCGACCCAAAAGUUCAUGACUCGACCAUUUGAGCACAUUUGAAGUUGGUGCAAAAAUAGGGCACUGGUGAAACUCUUAAGAGAAGAAGACAAAGGAGAGGCUGGUGAAACUCUUAAGAGAAGAAGACAAAGGAGAGGCUGGUGAAACUCUUAAGAGAAGAAGACAAAGGAUAGGCUGGCGAGUGACAGGCUGGAAAGGAGAGUCCCUUGCUGUAAAGUAAAAGCAAAAGGAGACCAUGUAUCUAGCAAAAGAAGUGGGCAGAUUCAUGGGAGCCUUUAGCUAGCCAAUAAGGAGCCAGCCUUCCCUUGACCAGAUUCAAAUGGACCAAUUAUCCAUCAGGAGGAGCACAGCCACGACCAAGACCAUCUUUCCAUCUCAUUCAUCCAUUUAAAUUCAAGUUAUAACAGCCCUUAGAUUUAGGUUUAUGAUUGCAAGUUGUAAAGAGCAUAUAUAAGCUCAUAAGUGAUGUUUUGUAACUCUUAAGUGAGUAAGGGGGAUUUCCCCUCCUCCUUCAUAAUCUCAUGAUACUUUGUCUC